Molecule: transfer RNA, 76 nt
Filed under: Deltaproteobacteria bacterium
Lineage: Bacteria; Pseudomonadati; Myxococcota; Myxococcia
Description: tRNA-Leu
Rfam family: tRNA
About the family: Transfer RNA (tRNA) molecules are approximately 80 nucleotides in length. Their secondary structure includes four short double-helical elements and three loops (D, anti-codon, and T loops). Further hydrogen bonds mediate the characteristic L-shaped molecular structure. tRNAs have two regions of fundamental functional importance: the anti-codon, which is responsible for specific mRNA codon recognition, and the 3' end, to which the tRNAs corresponding amino acid is attached (by aminoacyl-tRNA synthetases). tRNAs cope with the degeneracy of the genetic code in two manners: having more than one tRNA (with a specific anti-codon) for a particular amino acid; and 'wobble' base-pairing, i.e. permitting non-standard base-pairing at the 3rd anti-codon position.
Source: RNAcentral
GGGUGGUGAAAUGGCAGACACGCUAGCUUCAGGAGCUAGUCCCCGCAAGGGGGUGGAGGUUCGAGUCCUCUCUCCA